ACACCCCUGUACAAUAUGUACCACACUCUGCAAAGUGCUUUUCUCACUUAGCUCACCUAAGGGCCGACCUCAGUAGACCUCAUGGUCAUAGCAUUUUUUUUUUCCCAAAGUGACACUAUUGUGCUUUUAUUUGAUUUUCAGCGCAGUUAACUGUGAUUUUUUUUUUAAGUUGGGCCCUGAGCUAACAUCUGUUGCCAGUCUUCCUCUUUUUUUUUUCUCCCCAGAGCCCCAGCACAUGGUUGUAUAUCCUAGUUGUGAGUCCUUCUAGUUCUUCUAUGUCGGACGCACCACAGCAUGGCUUGAUGUGUAGGUCCGUGCACAGGAUCUGAACUGGCGAACUCUGGGCCACCAAGCGGAGCACGUGAACUUAACCACUGCACCAUGGAGCGGGCUCUCCAUAGCAUUUCUUAAAAGGCAGCUUCUCUCCCUAAAAAUAAUCAUAUUGUAUAACACAGAUGUGUAAACUUAUUAUUCUUAUUAUUUCUACUUCUCUGGGCAUCCAGUCACAUACUUGUAGGAAUGGCUAACCAAUAGAAUAUGAGAAACUACAAAACUCUCUCCAGAACUACAGAAGGCAAUGCAGAGAUGGAGAGAUGAGCCAUCAGGGUGGGUAGAAAGACCAUGUUGUCUUCUCAAAUAUUUUAAUGAAAUUAGAAUUAAAAAUCUCAAUGGGGCUUUUUUUCCUUUUUUUUUUUUGUCCUUUACAAAAUGGUUCUCGGAGUCACUUGGAAGAAUAAAUAGGUGAAAGAAACCCAGAAAUUAUUGAAAUUGAGAGGCUUGCAUAUGAAAAAGCUAUGAUCAAUAAAACAGAGUGAUACAGGUACAAGAAAGAAUAGAUCAGGGGGCCGGCCCAAUGGUGCAGCAGUUAAGUUCACACAUUCUGCUUCUCGGUGGCCCGGGGUUUGCCAGUUCGGAUCCUGGUUGCAGACAUGGCUCCGCUGGGCAAAAGCCAUGCUGUGGUAGGCAUCUCAUGUAUAAAGUAGAGGAAGAUGGGCACAGAUGUUAGCUCAGGGCCAGUCUUUCUCAGCAAAAAGAGGAGGAUUGGCAGUAGUUAGCUCAGGGCUAAUCUUCCUCAAAAAAAAAAAAAGAAAGAAAGAAUAGAUCAAUGUAACAGAAUAAGUAACCUAAACACAAAAUAUCUAUCAAAUUGUAAUACAUGAUAAGUAAGACAUCACUAUAUGUGAAAGAAAGCCUUAUCCAAUAAAAUGUGCAUGUACAAUUGGUUAGCUAUUUGGAAAAUUAAUCUGCACGCUGCAAGCCAAAAUAAAUCCAAACAGUUCAAGCAAAGAGCUACAUGCCACAAAGGACAGAAAAAAGAAAAGAAACCCUAAGAACUAGAAAGAAUGCUAAGUCAAUGUCUGUUUUAUCUCUCAAUGAAGGACUUUCUAAGUUAAAAAGCAAUGGAAGGCAUCCGAAAGAAAGAUCAAUAGGUUUGACCACAUAAAGAUGAGAAAACCUUUGUCCACUGAAAACAUUAGAAACAAAAUUGAGAAGUAAGUAAGCAGCCAGGAAAACUAUUUCAACAAAUAUAACGGACCUUGGGUUAAAAUCCUUAGUAAUAAAGAGCUUAUAAAAAUCAUUAAGAACACAAAAUGCCAAUUGAUAGAAAGAUGAGAAAGACAAGUCACAGAAGAAUCCAAAAGUUUAACCUUUCUAGAAAUAAGAGAAAUGAAAAACUAAGACGGCAUAUCUAAAAACCAUUUUAAUAGCUUUUUCUAAUUAUAAAAGUGAUGUAAGUUUAUGGUAGAAAAUCUAGAAAAUAAAAUUGACCCACUAGGUCACCAUCCAGAAGUGACCAUCACUAACUUUUGCUGUAUAUGCUGCAAGUGUUGUUUCCUCUGCCUUUUUCUUUUUUAAUUAGGGUGAUAUUGUUGGCAUCCCAUUUUCUGCCUAUCAAAUUACAGAGGUCUUUUUAAAGCUUAUAUACAAUGCUGGUAACAGUGCAUAUGGUUCAGACAAUGUAGAUGCAAUUGAAUAGGAAAGGGGCUUAAUCCAUUCUGUCCUUUUUCUGAGACCACAGCUGAACUGGGGUGCCGGGCAAAUUGUGACCCCAGUAGGCGAGUGGGUGUAGGGAUUUCAGAUUUGCAAGGCCAGAGCACCAGAGUCAGCAGGGAGCUUUUCAAGAGGACAGACUCUGGGGCCCCACCCAAGUCCAGGGAAUUAGAGGCCCCCUCUCUCCCCAGCGUCCACCUCUAGCUAACCGUGGUUAGCCUUGGUUUCUCUGAGCCUUGGUUUCAAUGUAGAUUCCUACCUCACAGGGUCAUCAUGAGAAUUAAAGGACAUAGGUCAGCAAAUGUGUUUAGCCCACUGCCUGUUAGCUCAAAAGGACAAACUCUGAGUGAGAACGUGCUUUCUCUUUUUAUAACUAAGGACCAUCAAGGGAUUCUUGCUGAACAAAGGCACUGAAAAUUCAAAUAUCUGCCUUCCAAAAGUCAGAAAACUGCUUGCAGCUUUUAAAUGCUCUUCUCCGCCUUUCCAAAUACCUCCUGGCUACAUUUCAGAGAGCCCUGGAGUAACAGUCCUCUCUGUAAACACCUCCUACUUGCCCAAGGUGACAGCACAUCAGAGACAGAACUGGGCCGAGGCCCCUGAAUCCAAGCCUGCCCUUCAAUUCCCUACCCAAUCUUGACCCUUUGCUGGAGAGUGCCAGGCACAGUGCUGAGCUGCCGAGAGGGAAGGCGGCUGCCAUAGGCAGUGGGGGUGGGGGUGAGGAUGGAGGUGGCUGUGGGCAGCCCCUCUGGUUCUGGGCCUGUUGCUCAUUAGGGGUCACUGUGUCCAGAGGCACUUCCUCUCUCCCUUGACAAGGGGCUCAGAUCCUCGCCCCCACUGUCCUCGUCCUUCCUCAGAGCUGCUGCCCACAUCAGGGCUGUCAUGUCAGCUCCCCUCCUGACACUGUGCCUUGGCAUAAUAAAUGCUCCAGUCGAAUGUACUUUAUUUUGGGGAAAGUCACUAAACUACUUUUGUGGCAACAUUUUAAUUGAAUUAGAUUGUUUUCUGAUGGUAAGAAAUGUUAAUUGAGUGGGCCUAGUGUCCUUGGAUCCAGCUAGCUUCUCGUGGUUUAAUUGGGAGGAGAGUGAGGACUAACUUCUUUUCACCAUGAGUCUGUGGUUUAAAUUUAUCUUUUGUGCCAAUAAAGUGAUCAGGUGAGUGCAGGGAGCACAUUAUUUCUUAUGUCUGAGGUUUAAUAACCUGCUUCACUCACAGGGCCAAGAGGCAGCCCCUGUUCGGUGUCACUGGGGCGUGACCCAGUUCUCUCAUCUUGGCUUAAUGAGGUUUUCUCCAUUUCUCUUGGGAAAAGAAAGAAGUUUUAAGUUCUGAAGAAUACUAAUCACCUGGUUUCAGGGGGAAGAAGUUGCUGAUUCCCAUGGGCACGGCUGACCAGAGAGGCAGGUGGUCUGCCAGGCAGCUGAGACCCCCAAGCUUUUUGUUCAUACCUGGAGCAGACAGGCCCCGGGCAGUUGCAGAAACUUGGAACAGUUGAGAGACCCUGGCAGCUUCCUCAUUUUAGCGAUAUGGAAACUGCAGCCCAGAGGGGGAAGGGGCAUAUCCAAGGCCACACACUGUGGCCCUGGUACAGUAACAUCUACAGCCCAAGGAGUCUUUGACUAGUAACAAAUUCAGUUUUGGUUCUGACAUGACCGAGACCCUGGGGUAGGUGUAAGGGUGGAGAUAGAUCCAAGGUCCUCAAUGAGCUUGCACAAUAGUGACAGUGAUGGUUGUGUAAACUGGGUGACAACAGCAGGGCCCAUACAACAUAGAAGGCAAUGUGAGGGACCAGGCAUGUUGCCUUGGACUUGUGGGGAGGAAGGGCAGUCUGGGAAGCGAUGAAGAGGAGGUGUGUCGGCACUGGGUUUUGAAGGAUAAAUAGGAGUUUGCCAGGUGGACAAAGUGUGGAGAAGGGCAUUCUAGGCAGAAGCAAUAGCAUAUGCAAAGCCAAGUUUGUUCUGGCAAAUAUGAGAUCCACAGGAGGCUCUCAGAGGCAGGACCUGUUCAGAUUUGCACUAUAGGAAAGAUCCCUCUGGCUGCUGCAGUGGAGGAGGGUCCAGAGGGGGAAUCUAGAGGCAGGGAGAGCCAGGUGAGAGAGACUGGGACCCCCCCCAGCUCAGCUCAUUGCCAUGAAGAUGGAAGAGUAGAGUCAGAUCCUAGAAAUAUUCCUGAGGUAGAGUCAAGUUCCUGGCUUAAGUAGCCGCCUAGGAGGUCAGGUCUCUUGAGAAGGUCCCAGGAGGGAGCAGGUGAGGAGGAAGGGACGGGUGACGCCCUCCCGUUGGACAAGCUCCUUGGCAACUGAAUGGUUUAUUCUUACUCUGAAUGGUGCUGGGGGGCGAUGAGACUUACAAUAGCAGCACAGCCCAUGUUGAACAGCUUUCUGCAGCUGGACACCAUUACAUGUGCUUUGCCUACAUUAAGCAGGCAUUUAUCUUCAGGACAACCUUGUGAGGUGGGUCCUGUUUUUUUUUUUUAAAGAUUGGCACCUGAGCUAACAUCUGUUGCCAAUCUUUUUUUUAUUUCUUUUUUUUUCCUUCUUCUCCCCAAAGCCCCCUAGUGCAUAGUUGUAUACUCUAGUUGUAGGUCCUUCUGGCUCUGCUAUGUGGGAUGCAGCCUCAGCAUGGCUUGAUGAGCGGUGCUAGGUCUGUGCCCAGGAUCCAAACUGGCGAAACCCUGGGCCGCUGAAGCGGAGUGCAGAAACUUAACCACUCGGCCAUGGGGCCAGCCCGAGGUGGGUCCUGUUCUUACUCCUUUCACCAGUGAGGAAACCUGGGCAUAGAGAUGGUCGGUGACUUGCCCAAGGUCACUGAGCUUAGGAGGUGGGAGAGUGGCAGCUCUCCCAGGCUGAGUCAGGGCCCCUCUGACCUACCCCAAAUAAAUAUGUGCUCCACAAUCAGAUGGAGCUUAAUUGACUCUUUACCCAAAAUUAUCCAUUGUAACAGGCAACAAGAGUCUAGGUUUUCCUUUGAGAAAUCAGAAGAACUUCCUAGCACCAAACAGUAUUCCCAAGGAGCACCAGGGCCCCAGACCUCAGCAUCUCAUUCUAUCGGUGCCCAGGCCCCUCUUGUCUGAUGGGAGGAGGUAAGAAGUCUAGACUGGGCUUUCUUCUUGAAUGCCCCACAGUAUAGCAAGAAGGGCCUGGGCUCAAACACACUUACUCCCCAUGUGACCCUGGGCAAGUCCCUCUCCUCUCCAAGCCUCACCAACUGACCAACUGUGUCUCCAUCAGACCCUCCCAGGGCUGCCAUGAGGUUGCUGGGGUCCUGGAACAUCAACAAUAAUUGAUGGCUAUUGUGAUUAUGGCUGUCCCAGCCUUGCUCCUGGCUCUCUCCAGGCUGAGGUGACCUGAGGACACAGGACCACCCUGGGAAAAGUAUCCUCACAGUGGCAGCCGCUAACCCCAGAAACUGGGCCCCAGGCCUGCCACCCAGAAAUCAAGCUCACUGUUAGUGGAGCCUCUUUCUUAAGUGGGUCCUGACCCCUCAGAAACCCUUGAGUAGUUUCUUUGUUGGGAGGCCCAGCAGCAUCCGCUUCCCCAUCCACAUGCCUGUCAGGAUUCUGUUCACCCUUUCAGGCCUGAGUCCACCCACCUUCUCUCCAACCCCUGAGGGCAUCUCCCUCCCUGCUCUCUGCCUCUGCCCCAUCUGCCACUGGGUACUACUUGAUGCUGGCAAACUCCCAGGGCAGGCCUAUGCCUCCAACUCGCACUCAAGGCCUGCCAGAGCUUUUCCUGCAGUAGCUCCAGCUGAGGGGUGUGGAUGGAUAGAGAUGGGAUGGAAUUUGCCAGGAUAAAAUUCUACCCGCCCUCCUCACACACACACACAUGCACACCCCCGCACACACAUGCACAAUCAGGCCCACCUUCCCAUUUUGUGGCCAUGAUAGCCUUAUCUUUGGCUCCACCUCAUCUGGUUCUGGGGCCUCUCCCCACUCUGCCCUGCUCCUCACCGAGCUGUCUCAGAUGCUUGUCUGGCCCCUGGUAAGCAUUCCCACCCCACCCUUCUCACUGGGACAUACCCUGACAUUGGAACAGGGGCUGGCACCAGGCAAGGUGCCACUACACACCACAGUAGCCCUGUCCCUGAGAAAAUAAGAGGAACGUGGCUUGGGAGCUGGUCAUCUACCAGCUCCAGGAAACUCCCACAAAAUCCAGGAAGAAAGCAAACCUAGGUCAUUCCUGAUGAGGCCAGGAAAGUGAACCUUGAAAAGCAAGAUUAAGAAGCUUUUUCCUCUCUCUCCUCACUUGCUAGAGAGCAAAGCCUCAGGGUCAACUGGUUACCAACUGAUGGGUUUCCUGUCACUGCAGGGUUCCCCUCCUCUGCCUUCUCCUGCAGGAUAGACCAGCUGUUGGUGCCAGAGUAAUGGCCACAAUUAAAAGCAAAAUGCCCUUACUGUGGGCUGCUGUCCUCCCACACCUGUGAGUCUGGAGGCUGAGCUCCACACUCCGAGAAUGGAAGAAUGGUAAUGAAAUCAGACAGGCCUCUUAACCGCUGAUGGUAUCAGGGCCCAGGGGAGAUGCAGACUUAUUCCUAAUCUCCCACAGAGCAUCUGUCAGCCCGACCACAUAGCAAUAUCAUUCUCACGUGCAGCAAGGACCUUUCAUGGGGUGAACUGUCAACUGCCUGCCUGGCUACCCACCCACCCUCCUCCCCCUGGGCCCCUCCUCUAGCCUCUUCCCCCUGCCUGGACUUAGGCUGCAGAUAUUCACAAACACACACUCACACACACACACUCAUACAUACACACACCCUGCUUCAUUCGUAAUUGCCUGCUCUGCCCCAUUUGCAUAGAUGGAAGAAAGAGAAAAAUAGGAACAUCCCUCUAGCAGUGUUGGAAAACAGUGAAGUGUACCAUUGAAAGAGUAAUCAUUCUGAGGGAUUUCUAGAAGCUUAGAAGCAGAUGAGAACAAGCAAAAGGAGAGCAUUGGUGCUACACAGCCUGUGACCCACUCAGACAACUCUGGGGACUGGUUUCCCCACCAGAGCCCAGGGAGCCCCUCAACUGGGCAGCAGGGGUGGGCAAAGGGGCCGGAGGAGGAGGCCUCUGGAGCUACAUCCAGCCCAGCCUUUGUCCCAAAGCUUCACUGGAUUAGGACUGCAUGCGGACUCGGUGAGGAGUCUGGGAGGCCUGUACAGGACAGAGGGGAUAGGACCCCACAACCACCACAGACGGAAAGCAGGAGAGGGUCUUGGCCCAGCAGUGGCAGCUCCUGCCUUGCCAGAAACUUCCUUUUUACUGUUAUUGAGUAUUACAGCCUAGUCCCCUCAUGAACACCCUGAGCUCCCAUUAGUAGAAACUGUAGGAGUGGGUGGGCAGGGAGCAUGUGGCACGGCCUGGACUCUGCUGGGUUGGUGCACAGAGACCCACCCCUCCCAGGCUCCAGCCUCUCAGUGAGGACAGUACUCCAUGAGACCUGGGACACAAGGUACAAGGAAUCCUGUGCUUCCUGCCCGCACAUGGCCAUUUGCUCCUAGUUCACGCACGUGGAAGGGAACGCUUCCUGCCCACACCCCCUCUAACAGGGCUCAAAUUCAGUCAGGAAGUGCCGUGUGCUACAUCCCCUUCUUGACAUUCGUGAUACAUCUUAGCUUAUUAAAGGUUCUGAGAAGACUUGCAAUAACUUUUAUUGUAUAAUUUUCAUUCAGCGCAGUUACAGAUCUUAAGUGUGCAGUUCAAUGCAUUUUGACAAAAGAUCACACCCAUAUAACCCACAGUCAUGUCAAGACUUAGAACCUUCUCAUUGCCCCAGAAAGCUCCCUCACACCCCUUUCCCAUCAUUCCCACUCCUACCCCAGAGGCAACCACAUUAUGACUUCAUAACAGUAAGUCAGUUUUGCCCAUUCUGAAGCGUCAUAUAGAUGGAUUCUUAUCCAAUAUGUGCUCUUUUGUGUCUGGCUUCUUUUACUCAGCACAAUAUCUGCAAAAUUCAUCCAUGUUGUUGCCUGUGUUAGUAGUUCCUUACUUUUAAUUGCUAGGAGUUUUCCACUGUAAGAAUAUAUUUAUUACAGUUUGUUUAUCUAUUUUCCUGCUGGUAAAUAUUUAGGGUUUUCCAUUUUUUGCUUGAAAAAAGCUGCCAUGAACACAUCUGUACUAGACUUUCUGUGAACAAAGUUUCACGUUUUCCUAGGUAGGCAUACCUAGGAAUGGAACCUGCAGCUAUGCGCACUGCCAAACUAUUUCCCAAAGUACCAGUUUACAGCCCCCCAGAAAAGUAUGAGAGUUUCUGUUGCUCCAUAGCCUCACCAUUAUUUGGUGUUGUUUCUACAGUAAUUUUUAAAAUUUUUUGUUUAAUUCAUCAUUUCCCAUGCUUAUUAAACCACUGAAUUUUUUCCCUUAUAACCCUUUUUAACAAAACUAGUGUGCUGUAGAAUUCAUUUUGAGGAGUGAGGAUCUAGACCUUCAUUUAUAAAUAGGAUAAAUCAAACAUUAGCUACAACAAGAAAUCACCAGAAUAUGAGGAGAAAGAGAAGCUCCAAAGAGGGAGCCAAGGUGAGAAGUCAGAAGGAGGCCUCCAGUAAGAAGGAAGGAAUUCAGUAAAUAACUUUGUAAAAAUUCUGAGACACAUUUUAAGAGAUCCAGAGGAUGUCACAGAGAUAGAACUGGAGCAGCCACUGGGAAAGAGAAAGAGAAUCCAGAAACUACAAGCAUGACUGCCAAAAGCAAGGCCACUUUGGAAGCAUCCAGAAGGAGAAUGCUGGAAAUGCAAAAAGGGACGUGGAGAGAGAACUAAGAGUUCAAGAAAGUCAGAAGAAAACAUUCCUAGGGUGACCUCCAAGGUUGCCCUGAGCACUGAUAUCCAUCUGUGGAUCAAAAAAUGAGAGAAAGGAUCAUGCAUGAGAAAGCACACGUAUCCAAAACAAGAAAGAGAAGUGGGAAUAAGCUUUGAAACUGAGGGAAUUUAAAAAUUAUAAGGAGUUCCUCUGCAUAACUCUCUAUCCCAAAGAUGCCCGGGGCCAUCCAACACCAUCCUACAUGAGUGGAAAGAUGACAGAGAAGAUCGAGUGGAAGAGUCUUAAUUGAAACAUUUUAUUUCUGCACCCAAGAGCCUUCAUCCUCAUGUCUAGGGGAUCCCAUUGCAGGCUGGCUCUUUGCCCUCACCUCUGAGUGACCCAUCCAGCAACAGCCUGUACCAAGCAAGCCUAUCAUUGUCUUCCUACCCAAACUCCUCUUCGUUGAACCUGUCUUCAACCACAGCCCUAACUUAAGAGGGAGAAUAGUCUUAGGCAGCCAUGCUUCUGCUGAGUAACGCCUCUCCCCGGCCACAGCUGAUUGGAUGACACCUGAUGGGGGGGCCAAUCCAUCUGAGCAAGGCUAGAUUGAGCCAGGUGCUCCACAAGAGUGGAUGUAUAGUAUAUACCACACUAUAUACAUUGUUAUGUAUCUUGCUCUUUUCACUUAACAGUCCUAGAAAUCAUUCCAUAUCAUAAAGUGAUUCUUUUUUUUUUUUCACAACCAAAGUCCAUAGUUUAGUUUGGGGUUCACUCUUUGUGCAGUACAUUCUGUGGGUUUUGACAAAUAUAUAAUGGCAUGUGUCCACCAUUGUAGUUUCAUAUAGAGUAGUUUCACUGCCCCAAAAAUCCUCUGUCCUCCAUAUAUGCAUCCCUCCCUUGCCACAAAUCCCUGGCAACCUCUGAUCAUUUUACUGUCUCCAGAAUUUUACUUUUUCCAGGAUGUCAUAUGGUUGGAAUCACAGAGCAUGUAGCCUUUUCACAUUGGCUUCUUUGACUUAGUAAUAUGGAUUUAAGUUUCCUCCAUGUCUUUCUGUGACUUGAUAGCUCACUGAAUAGUAUUCUAUUAUCUGGAUGUACCACAGUUUGUU
Molecule: long non-coding RNA, 9805 nt
Filed under: Equus asinus (donkey)
Lineage: Eukaryota; Metazoa; Chordata; Mammalia; Perissodactyla; Equidae
Description: lncRNA (ENSEASG00005038768.1)
Source: RNAcentral